This is a non-coding RNA of Oceanobacillus iheyensis HTE831, 69 nucleotides long. The record is from Rfam. NCBI's taxonomy places the organism in Bacteria, Bacillati, Bacillota, Bacilli, Caryophanales, Bacillaceae.
UAACCCAUUCAGCAAUGGAUGGCUGAACGGUCAGAAGUCAGCAGAAGUCAUAGUACCCCUACAGGGGAC